AGAACGAACGCUGGCGGCAUGCCUAAUACAUGCAAGUCGAACGAACACUUCGGUGUUAGUGGCGCACGGGUGCGUAACGCGUGGGAAUCUGCCCUUGGGUUCGGAAUAACAGUUGGAAACGACUGCUAAUACCGGAUGAUAUCGAAAGAUCAAAGAUUUAUCGCCCAGGGAUGAGCCCGCGUAGGAUUAGCUAGUUGGUGAGGUAAAGGCUCACCAAGGCGACGAUCCUUAGCUGGUCUGAGAGGAUGAUCAGCCACACUGGGACUGAGACACGGCCCAGACUCCGUACGGGAGCAGCAGUAGGGAAUAUAGGACAAGUGGGCGCAAGCCUGGACUCGAGACAAGUGCCGCGUAGAGU
This 358-nucleotide ribosomal RNA is filed under the name uncultured soil bacterium. Its description in RNAcentral is "bacterial SSU rRNA". It matches the Rfam family "Bacterial small subunit ribosomal RNA", at positions 26 to 407 of the family's 1533-position model. The record is from RNAcentral.